Transfer RNA from Sugiyamaella lignohabitans, 73 nucleotides. It matches the Rfam family "tRNA". From Rfam's summary of the family: Transfer RNA (tRNA) molecules are approximately 80 nucleotides in length. Their secondary structure includes four short double-helical elements and three loops (D, anti-codon, and T loops). The record is from Rfam. NCBI's taxonomy places the organism in Eukaryota, Fungi, Ascomycota, Dipodascomycetes, Dipodascales, Trichomonascaceae.
CGCAGUAUGGUGUAAUUGGCUAACACAUGAGACUCAUGAUCUCAUACUACGUGUUCGAAUCGCGUUAUUGCAA